UCCCGUCCCGAAACUAUCGAAACGCAUAGAGGAAAUGACCCUUUUACCCCUAGUUUGUUUUGUUAUGUUUUUGGUUACUUGGUGUGGUGUUGGCAGGUGCUGGGCCACCCACACACACCCUCAUUGUCCCUAUCCCUCUCUCAGUCUCUUUCCCUGUCUCUCUCUCUUUCCCGAGUCCUCUAUCCUUCUUCUUCUUCCUUCAAACUCGUACGGACACACACACAACUACACUAUUUCACCACAGAUCGAAGGAACUAAGGGCACAGUUGAGAUCGUGAGGUCGUGGGGAGCAAGAUCAUACCAAUAUCAGCUUGUAGAUGUGUUGGUGAGGUCCCAAGGAGCUUGGGAGUGCAUCAUUGGACGGAAUUGGACGUCGGAUUAGCCUGGUUCGAGUUUGACCGGUUUUGGUAAUUGGUGACAGGUGACACGUAUCCCGAGGACGAGCGUGCUCACACGAGGCAGGGGGGCUACGACCCUUCCACAUACCAGUGAGUGGGCUUUUGGUUUUCCGUAUAUACCUAUAUACAUUUAUAUUCCCAGAAAUAGUUAAAAAGGGUUAUUCGUUUUAUGCCAUGCACCAUAUCCUUGUUGUUUAUGUAUUAUCAUAUGCAUUAGUAGUGACAUACAUUUACAUAUUUAUAAUUGGUGCUGUGGAGGCGCAGGUAAGUGCCAGGUAAGCG
Pyrus x bretschneideri (Chinese white pear) is the source of this 680-nucleotide long non-coding RNA. RefSeq lists it as uncharacterized. The transcript has 3 exons. NCBI's taxonomy places the organism in Eukaryota, Viridiplantae, Streptophyta, Magnoliopsida, Rosales, Rosaceae. The record is from RefSeq and is a predicted model, not a curated record.